CCUACGGGAGGCAGCAGUGAGGAAUAUUGGUCAAUGGACGAGAGUCUGAACCAGCCAAGUAGCGUGAAGGAUGACUGCCCUAUGGGUUGUAAACUUCUUUUAUAUGGGAAUAAAAUGUUCCACGUGUGGGAUUUUGUAUGUACCAUAUGAAUAAGGAUCGGCUAACUCCGUGCCAGCAGCCGCGGUAAUACGGAGGAUCCGAGCGUUAUCCGGAUUUAUUGGGUUUAAAGGGAGCGUAGGUGGAUUGUUAAGUCAGUUGUGAAAGUUUGCGGCUCAACCGUAAAAUUGCAGUUGAAACUGGCAGUCUUGAGUACAGUAGAGGUGGGCGGAAUUCGUGGUGUAGCGGUGAAAUGCUUAGAUAUCACGAAGAACGCCGAUUGCGAAGGCAGUUCACUGGACUGCAACUGACGCUGAGGCUCGAAAGUGCGGGUAUCAAACAGGAUUAGAUACCCGUGUAGUC
RNAcentral lists this ribosomal RNA (460 nucleotides) under uncultured bacterium. RNAcentral describes it as "partial 16S ribosomal RNA". It matches the Rfam family "Bacterial small subunit ribosomal RNA", at positions 338 to 795 of the family's 1533-position model. The record is from RNAcentral.